GCAAACGGGUGCGGAACACGUUACGCAACCUUCCUUUAAGCGGGGGAUAGCCCAGUGGAAACUUGAGAUUAAUAACCCCAUAAGACAAUGGUGUGGCAUCACACAGUUGUUCAAAGCUCCGGCACUUAAAGAUGGGCGUGCGGCUGAUUAGGUAGUUGGCGGGGUAACGGCCCACCAAGCCGACGAUCAGUAACUGGUGUGAGAGCACGACCAGUCACACGGGCACUGAGACACGGGCCCGACUCCAUACGGGAGGCAGCAGUAAGGAAUAUUGGUCAAUGGCACGCAAGUCUGAACCAGCCAUGCCGCGUGGAGGAUGAAGGCCCUCUGGGUUGUAAACUUCUUUUAUUGGGGAAGAAAUCUGUUUCUCUAAAGCAGUUGACGGUACCCGAUGAAUAAGCACCGGCUAACUCCGUGCCAGCAGCCGCGGUAAUACGGAGGGUGCAAGCGUUAUCCGGAUUCACUGGGUUUAACAGGGUGCGUAGGUUGGGCAAGGCAAAGUCAGUGGUGAAAUCCUCUGGGCUUUACCAAGAAACUGGCCGUUUGAUACUAUCUGUCUUGAAUGUCGUGGAAGGUUA
Molecule: ribosomal RNA, 578 nt
Filed under: uncultured bacterium
Lineage: Bacteria
Description: bacterial SSU rRNA
Rfam family: Bacterial small subunit ribosomal RNA
Source: RNAcentral